Long non-coding RNA from Branchiostoma floridae (Florida lancelet), 400 nucleotides. RefSeq lists it as uncharacterized. NCBI's taxonomy places the organism in Eukaryota, Metazoa, Chordata, Leptocardii, Amphioxiformes, Branchiostomatidae. The transcript is spliced from 3 exons. The record is from RefSeq and is a predicted model, not a curated record.
UCUCAAGCAGGCUGUGAAACAAAUCUCUGAGUGACAUCUCAUUACAGCCAGAGACAACAUUGUACAACAGAAACUCUCACUGCACGAACUCAGAAGAACACGGGAUUCGAUAGUCGCUAUGGAAACGGCGAACGAACCGCUGGGCCUCAUCGGCACAUGCGCGAGAUACCCCAGAGCGGCGGCGUCCAGUUCUGCAGCAUUUCGACAGGAGGCGCUUCUUGUCUCUGACUGCAAGGGCAGAAAGGUUCCGUUCGGGAUGAAUCCGUCCACCACGUCAAACAGAUCCAGCUCGUACAGCGGCUUCCUGCUGCCCUGCCGGAGCUGGUUCGGGCGCCCCUCGGCACCACCCGCCACCAGGCCCCGAGGGAGCCGGGCAGGACACACGGGGUCAUCCUGGUCC